GCACUACUGAAGAGUCCCAUACUAGGACGAAACGGCCGUCCAGUAC
Molecule: non-coding RNA, 46 nt
Filed under: Schistosoma mattheei
Lineage: Eukaryota; Metazoa; Platyhelminthes; Trematoda; Strigeidida; Schistosomatidae
Source: RNAcentral